GUUUUUGUUUUCAGAUUCCUCACUACAUAUACCAUGUGGUACCAACCCCGUGGUCUUGUCGUACGUGUUCCACGCAUCUUCACAUGGCCUGGAGCUUCAGAGUUAUUAUGAGAGGAGCGACACCUUAGCAAACUACACGAUUUUUACUGGAUCGUUGCAAUUUCUGUUGUUUCCUGUCCGCGUCUGCACAAGUUAUUCAGAU
RNAcentral lists this long non-coding RNA (202 nucleotides) under Hordeum vulgare. Its description in RNAcentral is "long non-coding RNA (HVUL_LNC001461)". The record is from RNAcentral. Lineage: Eukaryota; Viridiplantae; Streptophyta; Magnoliopsida; Poales; Poaceae.